CGCGUAGGCGGCUUGGUCAGUCCCGUGUGAAAUCCCUCGGCUCAACUGAGGAACUGCACGGGAAACUGCCUGGCUUGAGUUCGGGAGAGGGAAGCGGAAUUCCGGGUGUAGCGGUGAAAUGCGUAGAUAUCCGGAGGAACACCGGUGACGAAGGCGGCUUCCCGGACCGACACUGACGCUGAGGCGCGAAAGCUAGGGGAGCAAACG
Molecule: ribosomal RNA, 207 nt
Filed under: uncultured bacterium
Lineage: Bacteria
Description: partial 16S ribosomal RNA
Rfam family: Bacterial small subunit ribosomal RNA
Source: RNAcentral